Molecule: ribosomal RNA, 460 nt
Filed under: uncultured bacterium
Lineage: Bacteria
Description: partial 16S ribosomal RNA
Rfam family: Bacterial small subunit ribosomal RNA
Source: RNAcentral
CCUACGUGAGGCAGCAGUGAGGAAUAUUGGUCAAUGGGCGCGAGCCUGAACCAGCCAAGUAGCGUGAAGGAUGACUGCCCUACGGGUUGUAAACUUCUUUUAUAAAGGAAUAAAGUGAGGCACGUGUGCCUUUUUGUAUGUACUUUAUGAAUAAGGAUCGGCUAACUCCGUGCCAGCAGCCGCGGUAAUACGGAGGAUCCGAGCGUUAUCCGGAUUUAUUGGGUUUAAAGGGAGCGUAGAUGGGUUGUUAAGUCAGUUGUGAAAGUUUGCGGCUCAACCGUAAAAUUGCAAUUGAUACUGGCAGUCUUGAGUACAGUUGAGGUAGGCGGAAUUCGUGGUGUAGCGGUGAAAUGCUUAGAGAUCACGAAGAACUCCGAUUGCGAAGGCAGCUUACUAAACUGCCACUGACAUUGAUGCUCGAAAGUGUGGGUAUCAAACAGGAUUAGAUACCCCAGUAGUC